Molecule: long non-coding RNA, 563 nt
Filed under: Phoenix dactylifera (date palm)
Lineage: Eukaryota; Viridiplantae; Streptophyta; Magnoliopsida; Arecales; Arecaceae
Description: long non-coding RNA (PDAC_LNC021660)
Source: RNAcentral
GAUAAUGUUUUAUUAUUCUCUAAUGUUUGAUGAUUGUUCAUACAGCCGUUGGCAAAUGGUAAUGCUUUCCCCUCCAUCCAUUUCUUGUUUCUACAAUGCUAAUCUUGUGUUUAUUACACUAUUUACUAAGUCGUCUACAAUCUAUUUCUACAAUCUAAUGCUAAUGAUAUUUAUGCUUUGACAAGUACAGUAGAAGUCAUCAUUAUGUUCUCUAAAGCUUGGUGUGGUCAAUAAUGCCUUCUUGUCGAAGGAUAUGUCCAACUUUAUCACCCGUGAUCUUAUCAGUGUCUUAGAAGGAUUUAAACCCGAAGCUCUGAGCUGUGGGCGGUAGGGGUGGUCCUAAUGACAGGCUCUGAGAAAUCUCCUCCUGGCCACGGUAAAACAAAGGCCCAUGUGGUUUCGUUCUUGGAGGACUGCAACAGUCCAGAUUGUCUAUUGAGGUGUGAAACAUUAAACUGCAGUUUUUUCCCUACUGUUUUAUUUAUCCUAUUAGAUCUGAUAACAUUUGUUAAUGAGAUUAUGAGGUUGUCUUUAUUAAACUCACAGGCUGCAGAAAGAAAGAA